AAAAAGAUAAGCUAAGUUUAAGCUAACGGGCUCAUACCCCGCAUAUGAGUUUUACUCUCUUUUUA
RNAcentral lists this transfer RNA (65 nucleotides) under Neopetrolisthes maculatus (porcelain anemone crab). Its description in RNAcentral is "tRNA-Met". Lineage: Eukaryota; Metazoa; Arthropoda; Malacostraca; Decapoda; Porcellanidae. The record is from RNAcentral.